This 253-nucleotide ribosomal RNA is filed under the name uncultured bacterium. RNAcentral describes it as "partial 16S ribosomal RNA". It matches the Rfam family "Bacterial small subunit ribosomal RNA", at positions 524 to 776 of the family's 1533-position model. The record is from RNAcentral.
UACGUAGGGGGCAAGCGUUGUCCGGAAUCAUUGGGCGUAAAGCGCGUGUAGGCGGCUCGAUAAGUCUGCUGUGAAAGUCCAAGGCUCAACCUUGGGAUGCCGGUGGAUACUGUCGAGCUCGAGUCCGGAAGAGGAGUGUGGAAUUCCUGGUGUAGCGGUGAAAUGCGCAGAUAUCAGGAGGAACACCAAUAGCGAAGGCAGCUCGCUGGGACGGUAUUGACGCUAAGGCGCGAAAGCUAGGGGAGCAAACAGG